GGGGACGAUGAUGACGGNACCGGGGGAAUAAGCACNGGCUAAUUCGUGCCAGCAGCCGCGGUAAGACGGAGGNUGCUAGCGUUGUUCGGAAUGACUGGGCGUAAAGGGCGCGUAGGCGGCCAUUCACGUCGGAUGUGAAAGCCCGGGGUUUCAAACCCCGGAACGGCAUCCGAUACGGGCUGGUUUCGAGACCGAGAGAGGUGAGUGGAAUACCCAGUGUAGAGGUGAAAUUCGUAGAUAUUGGGUGGAAACACCGGUGGCGAAAGCGGNUCACUGGUUCGUUUCUGACGNUGAGGCGCGAAAGCGUGGGGAGCAAACAGGAUUAGAUACCCUGUUAUUCCACCCCNUAAACGAUGUGGNUUGGGCGUUGGGGGCCUUCCCCUUCAGUNCCGGAGCUAACGCG
This 403-nucleotide ribosomal RNA is filed under the name uncultured bacterium #0319-6D8. Its description in RNAcentral is "bacterial SSU rRNA". It matches the Rfam family "Bacterial small subunit ribosomal RNA", at positions 459 to 859 of the family's 1533-position model. The record is from RNAcentral. Lineage: Bacteria; Pseudomonadati; Pseudomonadota; Alphaproteobacteria.